CUAGCUCAGUUGGUAGAGCGCAACCUUGCCAAGGUUGAGGUCACGAGUUCGAACCUCGUG
RNAcentral lists this transfer RNA (60 nucleotides) under Vibrio cholerae. RNAcentral's name for it is "tRNA-Gly". It matches the Rfam family "tRNA", at positions 8 to 63 of the family's 71-position model. Rfam says of the family: Transfer RNA (tRNA) molecules are approximately 80 nucleotides in length. Their secondary structure includes four short double-helical elements and three loops (D, anti-codon, and T loops). Further hydrogen bonds mediate the characteristic L-shaped molecular structure. tRNAs have two regions of fundamental functional importance: the anti-codon, which is responsible for specific mRNA codon recognition, and the 3' end, to which the tRNAs corresponding amino acid is attached (by aminoacyl-tRNA synthetases). tRNAs cope with the degeneracy of the genetic code in two manners: having more than one tRNA (with a specific anti-codon) for a particular amino acid; and 'wobble' base-pairing, i.e. permitting non-standard base-pairing at the 3rd anti-codon position. The record is from RNAcentral. Lineage: Bacteria; Pseudomonadati; Pseudomonadota; Gammaproteobacteria; Vibrionales; Vibrionaceae.